AUCAGAAUCAACAAAAUCAAUCACGUUGUGGCCUUGUUCACGAAAUCAAUCAGAAAUUCAGUACUUGACUUGUCCUGGCCUUCUUCACACCAGCACCCGCCGCCGCCCCUCCCCAGGUCGCGGGGAUCACUGGAGGCCACGGCCCCAUCUUCUCCACCACAGCCGCCAGCCGCCGCCGCCGCCCCUCCCUCUGUCGCGGGGGUCGCUGGAGAGUCACGGCCCCGUCGACCUCUUUGUCGCAGCCACCUCCCCUCCGUCAGGGGGGGAUGCCGGCAGAGUUACGGACCCGUCCCCUCCGUCGCUGGACCGGCCGAAGUGUCGCUGGGAUCGCCGUGAGCAUCCAACCCCUACCCCCCUACCUGACGAGCGCUGCCCGGGAGAUCAUAGGGGACGCGUCUCUGCCUCCUCGUCCACAUGUUUUAUCUCCAGAUGACUGGUCUGAUCUCUUUCAUCUUCCUUUGUCUGAAGAAGCACUGGGGGAAUUUCUUUCAACUUCUGUCUCCUAGAUGAUCUCCCUGAAACUGCUUGUAGACUGGGACUACUUCAUUCAGGACUCGGGAAAAGCAACUAAGGUGGAGCUACUGAAUCGUGUGCUAGCUAUUGCUUGUAGGGAUGUUGGAUGGAAGAGAUGUCAUGUGCAGAGCAUGAUCGCCAUGCUGCGGGAAGCUAGUUCAUCACACACACCAUUGGGAGGGGUCUUGGCGCAGCUAGACCUGAAGUCCACACCAAUCAACACCAAGGGUUACGAGACCCUCCUGCAAUUUACGAAUAACAAGUUAUCGACAGUUUUGAUCUCUACUAUGCGCUCUUCAUGUAUACUGUGAAUGCUACAGAACAAGGCAAGU
Lolium perenne is the source of this 845-nucleotide long non-coding RNA. RefSeq lists it as uncharacterized. NCBI's taxonomy places the organism in Eukaryota, Viridiplantae, Streptophyta, Magnoliopsida, Poales, Poaceae. The record is from RefSeq and is a predicted model, not a curated record.